Rosa rugosa (rugosa rose) is the source of this 696-nucleotide long non-coding RNA. RefSeq lists it as uncharacterized. NCBI's taxonomy places the organism in Eukaryota, Viridiplantae, Streptophyta, Magnoliopsida, Rosales, Rosaceae. The record is from RefSeq and is a predicted model, not a curated record. The transcript has 3 exons.
UCUCCUUCACACGCAAAACUCAGCUUUUCCUCUUUCCUUGUUCACGUCAGAGUUGGACAGAGAAAAAGGGAGCCUCGUUCAGCUCUUCCCCUCCACGUUUCCAUCAUGCAAAGGGCAACUCCUCCAAGAACAUCAUCUCAGACCUUCAAAAGAGAGAACCCAGGCCAUAAAUCGUCAUUCACCCUUCUCUUCUCACCUUUCCUCUCGUCCCUGGACACAUCAGUCCGUUUACGAGCCUCGAAACACCUAGUUCGAGAUCUCCGAUCAGAAAACGUUCUUCAUCAAAGUUGUUCGCCUAUGUCUCCUCUAUCUAGCCUCCAAAUUUCAGCUCCAUCGGAAUUGAUUUGAGACCUGUACACCCAUCGAAGCGGAAGCUGUUCCUGAACAAGCCUGUUCCGGAUUUCUGCUUAAACUUCCUCUCUUGCUCUACCCGAAUCCCCAACACCUUGCUUGAGACUGAUACCAACAGUUGUCUCUGUUUCACUUUGCAUGUUCGAGACUGAGCAAACUUCUUGGCCUGUGGCUGGACUCGAUCCAAUCAGCUCCUUCAGCUCUCUUUCCUGUUGAAAUCCUCAAGAGAAGCUCAUCUUUUUUUGUUAGUUUUUGGCUUGACAUCGUGGUGGAAUCUUGUGAAGUGGUGGUUGCUACAAGGUUGCAUUGAGGCCUAGUGCUGCAAGAGAAAGCUCGAGUUCCAGG